Mauremys reevesii (Reeves's turtle) is the source of this 558-nucleotide long non-coding RNA. RefSeq lists it as uncharacterized. NCBI's taxonomy places the organism in Eukaryota, Metazoa, Chordata, Testudines, Geoemydidae. The record is from RefSeq and is a predicted model, not a curated record. The transcript has 4 exons.
GCCCAGAGCCAGUUGAAAAUGUCUGCCUUUGGGGCAUCAGUUCAGUCGCCAUGACAAUGCAUCUAGGCAAAGCUCUUGAUAUCUUGUAUGGCAGACUGGUCUGCCAGAUAGUGUCAUAGGCUGCUCUAAGAUCAUUUUGCUCCCUAGAAGAAACUCUCCCUCCAAUACAUGAUGCAACUAUUGUAAGAAUCCUAACAAGAUAAGCAGUUGAGAGAAUCUGAAUGUUGUCCCUCGUUUUCUUUUGCUAACCUUUUGCUAACCUUGCUCUGGAAAUCAGAAAACUAAGAGGAUGUGGAGUCACCUGCAACCAUUGCACAUUGGAUUCUCUUUAUACAGUAAUACCUCACACUUAUACAUCCCAAUCCUAUACAGAGGUUGUGGGAUCUGCAGCUAGACACACAGCUGGACAUACAGAUAAGCAUCCAUGAAGUUAGUGUACAGGAGAGCUAUUUGCAGAGGUGCUGCAAUAGCAGCUAACAUUCCAACCACGUGCACACAGACUGACUGCCUGGUGCCUCCUCCAGACUCUUCCCUCCUGCAACCUGGCCUCCUCUCUCC